UAGUUGCUUCCCUCCGUUUCAAAUUACUCGUCGCACAAAUGGAUGUAUCUAGAACUAAAAUACAUCUAGAUACAUCCAUAUCUGCGACAAGUAAUUCGGAACGGAGGGAGUAGUAA
Molecule: non-coding RNA, 116 nt
Organism: Triticum aestivum (bread wheat)
Lineage: Eukaryota; Viridiplantae; Streptophyta; Magnoliopsida; Poales; Poaceae
Source: Rfam